GAGUUUGAUCCUGGCUCAGGACGAACGCUGGCGGCGUGCUUGAUACAUGCAAGUCAAGGAGAACAUUAUCUUCGGAUAAUAAGUAAACUGGCGAACGGGUGAGUAACGCGUAAACAACUUGCCUCAGAGAUUGGGACAACAUUGGGAAACCAGUGCUAAUACCAAAUAAUGCAGCGGGCUCUUCGGAGCACAGUUGUUAAAGUAGGCUUCGGCUUACACUUUGAGAUAGGUUUGCGUCCGAUUAGUUAGUUGGUAGGGUAAAAGCCUACCAAGACCAAGAUCGGUAGCUGGUCUGAGAGGAUGAUCAGCCACACUGGAAUUGAGAUACGGUCCAGACUCCUACGGGAGGCAGCAGUAAGGAAUUUUGCACAAUGGGCGAAAGCCUGAUGCAGCAACGCCGCGUGAACGAUGAAGUUUUUAGGAAUGUAAAGUUCUGUCGUAUGGGAAGAGAUCUUUCGAAUGUUAAUACCAUUCGUUAAUGACGGUACCAUACAAGAAAGCACCGGCUAACUUCGUGCCAGCAGCCGCGGUAAUACGAGGGGUGCUAGCGUUGUCCGGAUUUACUGGGCGUAAAGGGUACGUAGGCGUUUUAAUAAGUUGUAUGUUAAAUAUCUUAGCUUAACUAAGAAAGUGCAUCCAAAACUGUUAAAAUAGAGUUUGAGAGAGGAACGCAGAAUUCAUGGUGGAGCGGUGACAUGCGUAGAUAUCAUGAGGAAAGUCAAAUGCGAAGGCAGCCUUCUGGCUCAAAACUGACGCUGAGGUACGAAAGCGUGGGGAGCGAACAGGAUUAGAUACCCUGGUAGUCCACGCCGUAAACGAUGAGUAUUUGGUGCUGGGGGAUUCGACCCUUUCAGUGCCGUAGCUAACGCGAUAAAUACUCCGCCUGGGGACUACGAUCGCAAGAUUGAAACUCAAAGGAAUUGACGGGGACCCGCACAAGCGGUGGAACAUGUGGUUUAAUUCGAUGAUACGCGAAGAACCUUACCUGGGUUUGACAUGUUAGUGAAAGUUUUCUGAAAAGAAAUCCUUUUAAGAGCUUGCUCUUAAACACUAUCACAGGUGGUGCAUGGCUGUCGUCAGCUCGUGUCGU
This 1090-nucleotide ribosomal RNA is filed under the name uncultured bacterium. RNAcentral's name for it is "bacterial SSU rRNA". It matches the Rfam family "Bacterial small subunit ribosomal RNA", at positions 9 to 1068 of the family's 1533-position model. The record is from RNAcentral.